This 1444-nucleotide ribosomal RNA is filed under the name uncultured bacterium. Its description in RNAcentral is "bacterial SSU rRNA". It matches the Rfam family "Bacterial small subunit ribosomal RNA". The record is from RNAcentral.
AGAGUUUGAUCCUUGCUCAGGACGAACGCUGGCGGCGUGCUUAACACAUGCAAGUCGAACGAGCUUAAGAGAAGCUUGCUUUUCUUAAGCGAGUGGCGGACGGGUGAGUAACGCGUGAGUAACUUGCCUCGGACAGGGGAAUAACACAGGGAAACUUGUGCUAAUACCGCAUAAUGUGCGAGAGGGGCAUCCCUUUUGCGCCAAAGGAGCAAUCCGGUCUGAGAUGGACUCGCGUCCGAUUAGAUAGUUGGUGAGGUAACGGCCCACCAAGUCUGCGAUCGGUAGCCGGACUGAGAGGUUGAUCGGCCACAUUGGGACUGAGACACGGCCCAGACUCCUACGGGAGGCAGCAGUGGGGAAUAUUGCACAAUGGAGGAAACUCUGAUGCAGCGACGCCGCGUGAGGGAAGAAGGUCUUCGGAUUGUAAACCUCUGUUGUCAGGGACGAUAAUGACGGUACCUGACGAGGAAGCCACGGCUAACUUACGUGCCAGCAGCCGCGGUAAAACGUAGGUGGCAAGCGUUGUCCGAAAUUACUGGGUGUAAAGGGAGCGCAGGCGGAUUUGCAAGUUGGAAGUGAAACUCAUGGGCUCAACCCAUGAACUGCUUUCAAAACUGCAGAUCUUGAGUGGUGUAGAGGUAGGCGGAAUUCCCGGUGUAGCGGUGGAAUGCGUAGAUAUCGGGAGGAACACCAGUGGCGAAGGCGGCCUACUGGGCACUAACUGACGCUGAGGCUCGAAAGCAUGGGUAGCAAACAGGAUUAGAUACCCUGGUAGUCCAUGCCGUAAACGAUGAUUACUAGGUGUGGGUGGAUUGACCCCAUCCGUGCCGCAGUUAACACAAUAAGUAAUCCACCUGGGGAGUACGACCGCAAGGUUGAAACUCAAAGGAAUUGACGGGGGCCCGCACAAGCAGUGGAGUAUGUGGUUUAAUUCGAAGCAACGCGAAGAACCUUACCAGGUCUUGACAUCCGAUGCAUAGCUAAGAGAUUAGUGAAGUCCUUCGGGACAUCGAGACAGGUGGUGCAUGGUUGUCGUCAGCUCGUGUCGUGAGAUGUUGGGUUAAGUCCCGCAACGAGCGCAACCCUUAUCGUUAGUUACUACGCAAGAGGACUCUAGCGAGACUGCCGUUGACAAAACGGAGGAAGGUGGGGAUGACGUCAAAUCAUCAUGCCCUUUAUGACCUGGGCUACACACGUACUACAAUGGCUAUUAACAAAGAGAAGCGAUACCGCGAGGUGGAGCAAACCUCACAAAAAUAGUCUCAGUUCGGAUCGCAGGCUGCAACCCGCCUGCGUGAAGCCGGAAUUGCUAGUAAUCGCGGAUCAGCAUGCCGCGGUGAAUACGUUCCCGGGCCUUGUACACACCGCCCGUCACACCAUGAGAGCCGGGGGGACCCGAAGUCGGUAGUCUAACCGCAAGGAGGACGCCGCCGAAGGUAAAACU